Molecule: ribosomal RNA, 497 nt
Filed under: uncultured bacterium
Lineage: Bacteria
Description: partial 16S ribosomal RNA
Rfam family: Bacterial small subunit ribosomal RNA
Source: RNAcentral
GAUGAACGCUGGCGGCGUGCCUAAUACAUGCAAGUCGAGCGAACAGACGAGGAGCUUGCUCCUCUGACGUUAGCGGCGGACGGGUGAGUAACACGUGGAUAACCUACCUAUAAGACUGGGAUAACUUCGGGAAACCGGAGCUAAUACCGGAUAAUAUAUUGACCCGCAUGGUUUCAUAGUGAAAGACGGUUUUGCUGUCACUUAUAGAUGGAUCCGCGCCGCAUUAGCUAGUUGGUAAGGUAACGGCUUACCAAGGCAACGAUGCGUAGCCGACCUGAGAGGGUGAUCGGCCACACUGGAACGGAGACACGGUCCAUAGUCCUACGAGAGGCAGCAGUAGGGAAUCUUCCGCAAUAGGCGAAAGCUUGACGGAGCAACGCCGCGUGAGUGAUGAAGGUCUUCGGAUCGUAAAACUCUGUUAUUAGGGAAGAACAAAUGUGUAAGUAACUAUGCACGUCUUGACGGUACCUAAUCAGAAAGCCACGGCUAACUACGUG